This 212-nucleotide long non-coding RNA is filed under the name Panax ginseng (ginseng). RNAcentral describes it as "long non-coding RNA (PGIN_LNC007584)". The record is from RNAcentral. Lineage: Eukaryota; Viridiplantae; Streptophyta; Magnoliopsida; Apiales; Araliaceae.
AAAGAUAUUCAUCAAGAAAUCAUUCAUCUUUGCACUACAGGCCAAAGAUAUUCAGUAAUAUCAUCAUUUAGGACUGAGGAUGAUGAAAAAUAUUUUAAAAAAAACGAAUCCAGUGAAACAAAAGAACAAGUAUUAAGGAUUCGUACUUUAAAUAAUCCAAGUUCAAAAAUACUUUAUAAAUAACCAGAUUGGAGUAAAAUUCAAGAAUGAAG